Molecule: long non-coding RNA, 299 nt
Filed under: Elaeis guineensis (African oil palm)
Lineage: Eukaryota; Viridiplantae; Streptophyta; Magnoliopsida; Arecales; Arecaceae
Description: long non-coding RNA (EGUI_LNC004964)
Source: RNAcentral
ACCUGACAUCUUCUUUGUCCAUCUCCCACCUUCUACUCUAUACUGCAUCUGAUGCAGGGCUCUAUCGUCAUAUAUAUCAAAAUGUGACAGCUUUUUGAAUGCCUUAUGUUUUAGAGAUACUCCUGCUGACUCAAAUACUCUAGUCAAGGUCAUUCUAUAGGAUAAACAGAUCUUGUUCUUAGCUGCUGUCUCUCUAAUUUGAUUCAUCAUGAUUUCAGACAAAUUUAGAGGCAUGCCCUGAACAAUGUGAUACAUCAGCAUCCACUCUCUCUUCGAGACAAAGUCGUGCCUCCCUAGUU